This 201-nucleotide long non-coding RNA is filed under the name Ananas comosus (pineapple). Its description in RNAcentral is "long non-coding RNA (ACOM_LNC005669)". Lineage: Eukaryota; Viridiplantae; Streptophyta; Magnoliopsida; Poales; Bromeliaceae. The record is from RNAcentral.
UCGAAAUCUCGGAUUCUUCAAUCUUCGACAAUCACACACCGAACCCUUCAAGACUCCGACUCAAAUCACGAAACUUGCCAACACAAAAUUCCUAACAUGACUAUUUAUAGUUCUGCUCGUUAUUUAUUCAGUUACUCCCCACUAUCGACUAUGUCCCUACUUCUGCGGGCCACUCUUGGCCGAUCCUAGCCGCAUCAACUU